UGACCAUAUCACAGCACGGUGUACUCCUCUUGCCGUAUUCAGAGGAUUUGCCAAUGGGCAGAAACAUUCUCCUCUCCUUAUCUGGAUAUUAGAAACAUUAUCACAGGACCGGCAAACAGCCGCAGUCAUAUCUGACCAUACCACAGCACGGUGUACUCCUCUUGCCGUAUUCAGAGGAUUUGCCUAUGGGCAGAAACAUUCUCCUCUACUUCUCUGGAUAUUAGAAACAUUAUCACAGGACCGGCAAACAGCUGCAGUCAUAUCAUGAAGAAGAUGAGACUCAGAGCAAUACAUAAGUUGCCCAAGGUCAGAGCGCAAGUAAGUACCAGAAAUAAAAGCCAGAUAAAUCUAAUUCCCAUAUCCUUGCUC
Non-coding RNA from Callithrix jacchus (white-tufted-ear marmoset), 369 nucleotides. Lineage: Eukaryota; Metazoa; Chordata; Mammalia; Primates; Cebidae. The record is from RefSeq and is a predicted model, not a curated record.